AUAGCAUAUCAAUAAGCGGAGGAAAAGAAACCAACAGGGAUUGCUCUAGUAACGGCGAGUGAAGCAGCAAUAGCUCAAAUUUGAAAUCUGGCGUCUUCGGCGUCCGAGUUGUAAUUUGUAGAGGAUGCUUCUGGGCAGCCACCGACCUAAGUUCCUUGGAACAGGACGUCAUAGAGGGUGAGAAUCCCGUAUGCGGUCGGAAAGGCACCCUACACGUAGCUCCUUCGACGAGUCGAGUUGUUUGGGAAUGCAGCUCUAAAUGGGAGGUAAAUUUCUUCUAAAGCUAAAUAUUGGCCAGAGACCGAUAGCGCACAAGUAGAGUGAUCGAAAGAUGAAAAGCACUUUGGAAAGAGAGUUAAAAAGCACGUGAAAUUGUUGAAAGGGAAGGGAUUGCAACCAGACUUGCUCGCGGUGUUCCGCCGGUCUUCUGACCGGUCUACUCGCCGCGUUGCAGGCCAGCAUCGUCUGGUGCCGCUGGAUAAGACUUGAGGAAUGUAGCUCCCUCGGGAGUGUUAUAGCCUCUUGUGAUGCAGCGAGCGCCGGGCGAGGUCCGCGCUUCGGCUAGGAUGCUGGCGUAAUGGUUGUAAUCCGCCCGUCUUGAAACACGGACCAAGGAGUCUAACAUCUAUGCGAGUGUUCGGGUGUCAAACCCCUACGCGUAAUGAAAGUGAACGGAGGUGAGAACCGCAAGGUGCAUCAUCGACCGAUCCUGAUGUCUUCGGAUGGAUUUGAGUAUGAGCAUAGCUGUUGGGACCCGAAAGAUGGUGAACUAUGCCUGAAUAGGGUGAAGCCAGAGGAAACUCUGGUGGAGGCUCGCAGCGGUUCUGACGUGCAAAUCGAUCGUCAAAUUUGGGUAUAGGGGCGAAAGACUAAUCGAACCAUCUAGUAGCUGGUUCCUGCCGAA
RNAcentral lists this ribosomal RNA (904 nucleotides) under Cladosporium halotolerans. Its description in RNAcentral is "LSU rRNA". It matches the Rfam family "Eukaryotic large subunit ribosomal RNA", at positions 35 to 965 of the family's 3401-position model. The record is from RNAcentral. Lineage: Eukaryota; Fungi; Ascomycota; Dothideomycetes; Cladosporiales; Cladosporiaceae.